AAGUCGUAACAAGGUUUCCGUAGGUGAACCUGCGGAAGGAUCAUUAUCGAAAGCUGUAGGCGUUGGUUGUGCUGGCUCUCCGGAGUAAUGUGCACGCCCGUCUCACUCUCACCUUCAUUCAACUGUGCACUUUUGACGGAUGGGAUAUCUUUCCGCUUCUCAGAAGCGGGUUUGGGGGUCAAGCGUUCACUCGCGUUUUCCCCUGCUUUCCCAUCCGUAACCCCCCACACACACUUUAAAAAAAAUUAACCUAGAAUGUCUGAUUUGAUCCUCAGGAUCUUUAAUCUUUAAUACAACUUUUAACAACGGAUCUCUUGGCUCUC
RNAcentral lists this unclassified non-coding RNA (323 nucleotides) under Typhula sp. RNAcentral describes it as "partial internal transcribed spacer region". The stretch from base 1 to 46 matches the Rfam family "Eukaryotic small subunit ribosomal RNA", at positions 1786 to 1831 of the family's 1831-position model. The record is from RNAcentral. Lineage: Eukaryota; Fungi; Basidiomycota; Agaricomycetes; Agaricales; Typhulaceae.